GCACUCCCCUAUUACUACCGCCGUGCUCCCACCCCCUAACCCUCUACCCUAAUCCGCGUCCUCCACACCUUUCUAUCAAGGGUCAUGUCCUCUGUAAGCUGUAAUUACUCCAUAUCAUGCCUAAUCACCUCCCUCCAAUAUUUCUUCAGUCUACCUCUAGCCCGCCUAAAAUCAUCUAUAGCCAAAGUCUCACACCUCCGCACUGGAGCAUCAGGGCCCC
This 220-nucleotide long non-coding RNA is filed under the name Capsicum annuum. RNAcentral's name for it is "long non-coding RNA (CANN_LNC001945)". The record is from RNAcentral. Lineage: Eukaryota; Viridiplantae; Streptophyta; Magnoliopsida; Solanales; Solanaceae.